RNAcentral lists this ribosomal RNA (253 nucleotides) under uncultured bacterium. Its description in RNAcentral is "partial 16S ribosomal RNA". It matches the Rfam family "Bacterial small subunit ribosomal RNA", at positions 524 to 776 of the family's 1533-position model. The record is from RNAcentral.
GACGGAGGGUGCUAGCGUUGUUCGGAAUCACUGGGCGUAAAGGGCGUGUAGGCGGGAAGGUAAGUCGGGCGUGAAAUCCCUGGGCUCAACCCAGGAACUGCACUCGAAACUACUUUUCUUGAGUGCCGGAGAGGAAAGCGGAAUUCCUGGUGUAGAGGUGAAAUUCGUAGAUAUCAGGAGGAACACCAGUGGCGAAGGCGGCUUUCUGGACGGUAACUGACGCUGAGACGCGAAAGCGUGGGGAGCAAACAGG